GGGUGGGAUCAUACUAGCGUUAAUGCACCGGAUCCCAUCAGAACUCCGCAGUUAAGCGCACUUGGGCUAGAGUAGAACUGGGAUGGGUGACCUCCCAGGAAGUCCUAGUGUUGCAUCCU
Molecule: non-coding RNA, 119 nt
Organism: Picea glauca (white spruce)
Lineage: Eukaryota; Viridiplantae; Streptophyta; Pinopsida; Pinales; Pinaceae
Source: Rfam